This 1536-nucleotide ribosomal RNA is filed under the name Paralamyctes asperulus. RNAcentral describes it as "eukaryotic LSU rRNA". It matches the Rfam family "Eukaryotic large subunit ribosomal RNA", at positions 44 to 1266 of the family's 3401-position model. The record is from RNAcentral. Lineage: Eukaryota; Metazoa; Arthropoda; Chilopoda; Lithobiomorpha; Henicopidae.
CACUAAGCGGAGGAAAAGAAACUAACGAGGAUUCCCCUAGUAACGGCGAGUGAACGGGGAAGAGCCCAUCGCCGAAGCCCCCGUCCAAGCAGGGCGGCGGGCAAUGUGGCGUUCGGGAGGAGCCAUUCCUUUGGUUCGCGGGAGCCCAAGUCCCCCUGACUGGGGCCAUCGCCCGUGGAGGGUGCUAGGCCCGUACGGCUCCCGAUUUACGGCCGGAGGAUGGCUCUUUCCCCCGAGUCGGGUUGCUUGGGAGUGCAGCCCUAAGUCGGUGGUAAACUCCACCCAAGGCUAAAUACUGCCACGAGACCGAUAGCGAACAAGUACCAUGAGGGAAAGUUGCAAAGAACUUUGAAGAGAGAGUUCAAGAGUACGUGAAACCGCUCGGAGGCAAACGGGUGGGCACUCGAAGGUCGAACCGGGGGAUUCAACCGGUCGUCAUGUCUCCGUCAGUCGCAGUUUCUAAAAAGUUAACGGAUCCGAGGGACCGGACUGCGUGCUUACGAUCGGAGGACGGCCGGCGCACUUCCCCCUCAGUAGGACGCCGCGACCGGUCGGGACUUAUAACGGUGGCCAUAAGGCAUCAGAGCGGGCAGGUAUCUGGUUAGGUCGGUUAUCUUUUUGCUCCUUGUGGGUGAGAGUUAGCUCCUGCCAGAGUUAUAGCCCGUUCGCCGCCCGGCUCCACCGCCCGACCGAGGAAAAUAAUGUAAGACCCUCGCCAGUGAUGAGCCUGACUAGCGACAGGUGGUUUCGCAUUCAUUGGACGCCCAUAAGCGGCGGCCAGCGUUUGUUCGAGCUGCUGUUGGUUGCGGGGGAUCUCACUGCCUAAGCGACUGGAGGUCUGCGGCGAGUAGGUCGGUCGCCCACCCGACCNNNNNNNNNNNNNNNNCCAAGGAGUCUAACAUGUGCGCGAGUCAUUGGGGAUCUCUCGAGACCCACAGGCGCAAUGAAAGUGAAGGUAGGGGCUUGCCCCCACCGAGGCGGGAUCUGUCCGGGGGGUAACUCCCGGCAGCGCACCGCCGGCCCGUCGCAACCGCUACGCCGGUGCGGCGGAGCAAGAGCGUACACGUUGGGACCCGAAAGAUGGUGAUCUAUGCCUGGGCAGGACGAAGCCAGAGGAAACUCUGGUGGAGGUCCGUAGCGAUUCUGACGUGCAAAUCGAUCGUCGGACCUGGGUAUAGGGGCGAAAGACUAAUCGAACCGUCUAGUAGCUGGUUCCCUCCGAAGUUUCCCUCAGGAUAGCUGGCGCUCGGAACGGAACGCAGUCUCAUCCGGUAAAGCGAAUGAUUAGAGGCCUUGGGGCCGAAACGACCUCAACCUAUUCUCAAACUUUAAAUGGGUGAGAAGUCCGGCUUGCUCGACUACUGAAGCCCGGACGUUUAAGGAUGCGAGUGCCAAGUGGGCCACUUUUGGUAAGCAGAACUGGCGCUGUGGGAUGAACCAAACGUUGGGUUAAGGCGCCGAAUGCGGACGCUCAUCAGACCCCAUGAAAGGUGUUGGUUGCUAUAGACAGCAGGACGGUGGCCAUGGAAGUCGGAA